RNAcentral lists this ribosomal RNA (448 nucleotides) under uncultured bacterium. RNAcentral describes it as "bacterial SSU rRNA". It matches the Rfam family "Bacterial small subunit ribosomal RNA", at positions 29 to 524 of the family's 1533-position model. The record is from RNAcentral.
AACGAACGCUGGCGGCAGGCCUAACACAUGCAAGUCGAACGCACCGCAAGGUGAGUGGCGCACGGGUGAGUAACACGUGGGAAUGUACCCUUUGGUUCGGAAUAACGUUUGGAAACGAACGCUAAUACCGGAUGAGCCCUGCGGGGGAAAGAUUUAUCGCCAAAGGAGCAGCCCGCGUCUGAUUAGCUAGUUGGUGGGGUAAAGGCCUACCAAGGCGACGAUCAGUAGCUGGUCUGAGAGGAUGAUCAGCCACACUGGGACUGAGACACGGCCCAGACUCCUACGGGAGGCAGCAGUGGGGAAUAUUGGACAAUGGGCGCAAGCCUGAUCCAGCCAUGCCGCGUGAGUGAUGAAGGCCUUCGGGUUGUAAAGCUCUUUCGUCACGCGACGAUGAUGACGGUAGCGUGAGAAGAAGCCCGGCUAACUUCGUGCCAGCAGCCGCGGUAAU